AGGCACGAAAGCGUGGGGAGCAAACAGGAUUAGAUACCCUGGUAGUCCACGCCGUAAACGAUGAGUACUAAGUGUCGGGUUAAACCGGUACUGAAGUUAACACAUUAAGUACUCCGCCUGAGUAGUACGUACGCAAGUAUGAAACUUAAAGGAAUUGACGGGACUCCGCACAAGCAGAGGAUCAUGUUGUUUAAUUCGAAGAUACCCGAAAAACCUUACCAGGUCUUGACAUGUUUUUGCGAAACGGUAGUAAUAUGGUGGAGGUUAUCAGAAACACAGGUGGUGCAUGGUUGUCGUCAGCUCGUGUCGUGAGAGGUUAGGUUAAGUCCCAAAACGAGCGAAACCCUUAUCGUUAGUUGCCAGCACGUAAUGGUGGGGACUUUAACGAGACUGCCAGUGAUAAAUUGGAGUAAGGUGAGGAUCACGUCAAAUCAGCAUGCCCCUUAUGACCUGGGCUACAAACGUGAUACAAUGGCUGUUACAAAGGGUAGCUGAAACGCAAGUUCUUGGCCAAUCCCCAAAAACAGUCUCAGUCCGGAUUGAA
RNAcentral lists this ribosomal RNA (544 nucleotides) under 'Elaeagnus angustifolia' witches'-broom phytoplasma. RNAcentral's name for it is "bacterial SSU rRNA". It matches the Rfam family "Bacterial small subunit ribosomal RNA", at positions 749 to 1302 of the family's 1533-position model. The record is from RNAcentral. Lineage: Bacteria; Bacillati; Mycoplasmatota; Mollicutes; Acholeplasmatales; Acholeplasmataceae.